UACGGGGGGGGCAAGCGUUGUUCGGAAUUACUGGGCGUAAAGGGCGCGUAGGCGGCCUUCUAAGUCGGACGUGAAAUCCCUCGGCUUAACCGAGGAACUGCGUCCGAUACUGAAAGGCUUGAAUCCGGGAGAGGGAUGUGGAAUUCCAGGUGUAGCGGUGAAAUGCGUAGAUAUCUGGAGGAACACCGGUGGCGAAGGCGGCAUCCUGGACCGGUAUUGACGCUGAGGAGCGAAAGCUGGGGGAGCAAACAGU
This 253-nucleotide ribosomal RNA is filed under the name uncultured bacterium. Its description in RNAcentral is "partial 16S ribosomal RNA". It matches the Rfam family "Bacterial small subunit ribosomal RNA", at positions 524 to 776 of the family's 1533-position model. The record is from RNAcentral.